Molecule: ribosomal RNA, 253 nt
Filed under: uncultured bacterium
Lineage: Bacteria
Description: partial 16S ribosomal RNA
Rfam family: Bacterial small subunit ribosomal RNA
Source: RNAcentral
UACGUAGGGUGCGAGCGUUAAUCGGAAUUACUGGGCCUAAAGCGUGCGCAGGCGGUUUUGUAAGCCAGAUGUGAAAGCCCCGGGCUCAACCUGGGAAUGGCAUUUGGGACUGCAAGGCUGGAGUUUGGCAGAGGAGACUGGAAUUCCUGGUGUAGCAGUGAAAUGCGUAGAUAUCAGGAGGAACACCGAUGGCGAAGGCAGGUCUCUGGGCUGAAACUGACGCUCAAGCACGAAAGCGUGGGGAGCAAACAGG